Non-coding RNA from Schizosaccharomyces pombe (fission yeast), 1804 nucleotides. Lineage: Eukaryota; Fungi; Ascomycota; Schizosaccharomycetes; Schizosaccharomycetales; Schizosaccharomycetaceae. The record is from the annotation of a GenBank genome assembly.
CUUCCGGAAUACAAAUGGUUGGAAUCGAAUUGCAAAGAAGAAAUAGGAGCUGUGUGCCCAAUGAAACUUCUCACAGGAAGACCGAUUCGCAAAUCCCAGAUGCGAAUAAGUCCAUCGACAGUCCCACUAGCCACAGCAGCAUCUAAGCAGUCUAAAGCUCUGAUGAAAGGUUCUUGUUUGUAAGUGUCACUGACCAAAAUUUGACUAGUAGAUGUAUCAUGAGUUUCCGCCCACACAAAGUCCAAAGUUUGAAUACAACGCCCCGUAACGAUAUCCCACUGUCGAACAGUUUUAUCAUCGGCACCGGUUAUAAGCACAUCAUCACUAGAUAAUGCUAAUGCAGUGACAGGGGCAGUGUGAGAUGUUAAAACAUUUGUGGCAUUGUCAACAGGUUGAUCGGGAGGAGAAUUAAGGCUCUCUUCAACAGGAUUAUCCUUAUGAAGUACAUCAUUAUCUAAAUUCCAUAACCGCACGGUUGUAUCCAUAGAGCCAGUAGCAAUAAAGGAGUCUUGAAUCGCCAGACAAGAAACAUAAUCAGAAUGACCUUUCAAUGAACCCAGGUAUACAACACCCGCCAUAUCCCAAACUUUCACAGUUUUGUCAGUCGAGGCCGUAGCUAAAGUUCCAAAAGGAUGGGAAAAAUCAAGACUCGUAAUAUAUUCAGAAUGAGCUUGAAACUGCUUUACGAGAUUUCCAACUAUAUAAUUUUGAUUCACAGAUGAUUCAGUAUUCUCUGGUGCUUUAGAAAAAGCGGAAUUCUGUUCAAAGUAAUCUGAUACCACUUCACUAGCCGUAGAUGGCCUUGGAGCUCUUGGAGAGAUAGCCCUAGCAGAUAAAUUAUCUGUAUACUUGUCGUGUGUAUCAUCAAAAACAUCGGGGUUAGCUCCAUUUUUACCCGCUUCAAUUUGUGAAGGAAUUAAAUCAUGAGAAUAUGAGCUAUACAAAUCUUGAGCAUCCGAAUCUAACAUCAGUUUCUCAACAGAAGCCAGCUUGGAAGUAUACUUUAAAUUCUGUUCCUCGAUCUUGCUAAGGCGUUCAAGAACUUGCCUUCUUCGAGAAUAGAGUUUGGACAACUCCAAAUCAAUCUGUGCAAGUUCGCUAGAAUUAAUGAGCUUUUGAAGACGAAGUUGAUUGCAUUUCUUCACCAAUUUUUCGUGUUGUAAGCUAUCGGGCUUAAAUUCAGAAGAGUCGGAAACCAUUGACACAUCAAUCGAUGAUACAUUUUUUUUGCCUUCCUUUUGGUUGGAGCUUGUUAUCGGCAAAGGUGAAGUGUCGGAAUGAUCGUGAGCAGUGACUGAGUAACCUUCAAGCAAACUAUAAGACGUUUCUUGAUGGUCCGGAAUAUCAAACAAAAGAGGAUCGGGCAAUGUUUGAGCUUGAACUGGAUCAACACCGUUAUGUGAUAAAAACCAUUCAUUAAAUUGGGAUUUGGAUAAACGAUGGCGUAAAAAAGGAUGAGAAAGGCCACGCACGAACAGAGAUAUGGGAUUUCUUUGAGGUGUAACUGGACUAGAAUCGAAGAAAUUCCACGUUGUAUAAGCUAUGGCUUUAGUCCAAUAAAAAACAUCUUUUCUUAAACCUUUCGAAAUAGUGGGAGUUAACGAAUCAUUUGGAAUUUUUUGUGAAGAAUCUUUGCUCUUUGAAUUAUUAUCAGUCAUAAAACGAAAAAAGCCAACAAUUAGAAGAAAAGCUAGUGAACUUUAAUACUUUAAGGAAUUAAAAUAAUGAGGUAAAGGGUUCAGAUCUCCCAAACGUAAAAGCGGUUAAAAAAGGUGGCUUUACGGAGAUAAAUGAUAUAUCCAGA